AUGCAAUGCAGCACGAUGCAGACCUCCGACUCCGACUUCACUAUACCCAGCGAGCGAUGUAUUUCAAUCACUAUGCAUCCUAGAUUACGCUAGGCCAACCAGGUAAGUGGUAAAGGACAAUCACACAAGGAGCUAACCCUCAAUUGGCCGAUAGUGUGUCUAAAAAUUGAAA
Long non-coding RNA from Bradysia coprophila, 172 nucleotides. The record is from RefSeq and is a predicted model, not a curated record. Lineage: Eukaryota; Metazoa; Arthropoda; Insecta; Diptera; Sciaridae.